Uranotaenia lowii is the source of this 665-nucleotide long non-coding RNA. RefSeq lists it as uncharacterized. NCBI's taxonomy places the organism in Eukaryota, Metazoa, Arthropoda, Insecta, Diptera, Culicidae. The transcript is spliced from 3 exons. The record is from RefSeq and is a predicted model, not a curated record.
GGUCAACACCCCAAAAUAAAAGUUCGCUGCUUGAACUGCCUGUCCCAAAAUAUUUUUUGUUUACUUUCAUGGUAUCGAACGGAUCGCAUGGCAGAUUUUUUGUUAAAUUUUGUGGAAACAAGAACAUCAAGGUGAAAACGUCGUCAACAAAAACGUUUAAUUUCAAGCGGAAUGACAUCCGGAUCUGCCUCCGUAUGGUUGAAAUUCAUUGAAGAGCUAUCCACACGAGUAACCAAAGAGAACAAGCCGAUGGCCAUUCAGUUCGCUUACAUAUUGGAACCAGUCUGGGCUGCGGAUGAAAAUAUUGAUGAAUUGAUUCCAAUCAUACCGGAAUGCGAAACGGAUCUCUACUUGGCAAUGGUAGGAAGCUUCCUUCAAGACCAAUUGCAACUGGGAGCCUGACUAUUAUUUUAUAAUAUUCUUUUAAAAUUUCGGUGCCGGAACUUCUUUAAGAAAUGGACCCGUGUGAAUUCUGGAUCACAGAAGAUUAUCAUAAUCGAUACGUGUUGAAAGUGUAUAGUUCCAAAGUUUUUCAGAGUGACCGACCUACCGUACCGAUAGGCUCUGGUUAUGGUAAAUACGCUGAUGAACAGGAAAACAUGCCCAAUAUAAUGUAAGCAAAACCAGUUUCUAAACCGUUUGGUAAUUUCUCGGUUGCCACUUUU